CCUACGGGUGGCAGCAGUGAGGAAUAUUUGUCAAUGGACGAGAGUCUGAACCAGCCAAGUAGCGUGAAGGAUGACUGCCCUAUGGGUUGUACACUUCUUUUAUAUGGGAAUAAAACGUUCCACGUGUGGGAUUUUGUAUGUACCAUAUGAAUAAGGAUCGGCUAACUCCGUGCCAGCAGCCGCGGUAAUACGGAGGAUCCGAGCUUUAUCUGGAUUUUUUGGGUUUAAAGGGAGCGUAGGUGGAUUGUUAAGUCAGUUGUGAAAGUUUGCGGCUCAACCGUAAAAUUGCAGUUGAAACUAGCAGUCUUGAGGACAGUAGAGGUGGGCGGAAUUCGUGGUGUAGCGGUGAAAUGCUUAGAUAUCACGAAGAACUCCGAUUGCGAAGGCAGUUCACUGGACUGCAACUGACACUGAGGCUCGAAAGUGUGGGUAUCAAACAGGAUUAGAUACCCCAGUAGUC
Molecule: ribosomal RNA, 460 nt
Filed under: uncultured bacterium
Lineage: Bacteria
Description: partial 16S ribosomal RNA
Rfam family: Bacterial small subunit ribosomal RNA
Source: RNAcentral